CCGGCCUGCCCAGUGGCUUUUUUGCUAAACGGCUGCAGUACUCUGACUGUGCAAAGGUAGCAUAAUCAAUUGUCUAUUAAUUGUAGACUAGUAUCAAUGGUUAGACGACAAAAGUACUGUCUCCUUUCUCUUAACUCGAAUUUAACUUGAGGGUGAAGAGGCCUUCAAAAAAGAGUAGGACGAGAAGACCCUAUUGAGCUUUAGGUGAGAAAGUUAGUAUUUCGUAAGUUUCGACCUUGGGUUGGGGCAACCGUCUGUUUUUAUUUAACACAGAUAAAAUUAGUUUGUAUUGAAUCUUUUUUUGACCCAAGAAAACUUGGUAUUUAGAAAAAGUUACCUUAGGGAUAACAGCGUAAUUUUUCUUAAUAGUCCAUAUUGCCAGAAAAGUUUGCGACCUCGAUGUUGGAUCAAGAUUCCCUGAGGGUGCAGCAGCUUUCGGAGGUUGGUUUGUUCAACCAUAAAAAUCUUACGUGAUCUGAGUUCA
This 484-nucleotide ribosomal RNA is filed under the name Ophiolepis cincta. RNAcentral's name for it is "partial 16S ribosomal RNA". It matches the Rfam family "Bacterial large subunit ribosomal RNA", at positions 1854 to 2613 of the family's 2925-position model. Lineage: Eukaryota; Metazoa; Echinodermata; Ophiuroidea; Amphilepidida; Ophiolepididae. The record is from RNAcentral.